RNAcentral lists this small nuclear RNA (164 nucleotides) under Dasypus novemcinctus (nine-banded armadillo). RNAcentral's name for it is "U1 spliceosomal RNA (ENSDNOG00000043509.1)". It matches the Rfam family "U1 spliceosomal RNA". From Rfam's summary of the family: U1 is a small nuclear RNA (snRNA) component of the spliceosome (involved in pre-mRNA splicing). Lineage: Eukaryota; Metazoa; Chordata; Mammalia; Cingulata; Dasypodidae. The record is from RNAcentral.
GAACUUACCUGGAAGGGGAGACACCGUGAUCAUGAAGGUGGUUUCCCCAGGGUGAGGCUUGUCCACUGCACUCCAGGUGAGCUGACCCCGGCGAUUUCCCCAAAUGUGGGAGACUUAACUGCAUAAUUUGUGGUGGUGGGGGACUGCAUUUGCGCUCUCCCCUU